This 301-nucleotide ribosomal RNA is filed under the name uncultured bacterium. RNAcentral describes it as "partial 16S ribosomal RNA". It matches the Rfam family "Bacterial small subunit ribosomal RNA", at positions 509 to 808 of the family's 1533-position model. The record is from RNAcentral.
CAGUCGCCGCGGGAAUACGGAGGGUGCAAGCGUUAAUCGGAAUUACUGGGCGUAAAGCGCACGCAGGCGGUCUGUCAAGUCAGAUGUGAAAUCCCCGGGCUUAACCUGGGAACUGCAUUUGAAACUGGCAGGCUAGAGUCUUGUAGAGGGGGGUAGAAUUCCAGGUGUAGCGGUGAAAUGCGUAGAGAUCUGGAGGAAUACCGGUGGCGAAGGCGGCCCCCUGGACAAAGACUGACGCUCAGGUGCGAAAGCGUGGGGAGCAAACAGGAUUAGAUACCCCUGUAGCCCUGUCUCUUAUACC